RNAcentral lists this ribosomal RNA (205 nucleotides) under uncultured bacterium. RNAcentral describes it as "partial 16S ribosomal RNA". It matches the Rfam family "Bacterial small subunit ribosomal RNA", at positions 568 to 774 of the family's 1533-position model. The record is from RNAcentral.
UGCGUAGGCGGCCGUUUAAGUAGGGUGUGAAAUGCCAGAGCUCAACUUUGGCAUUGCGCUCUAGACUGAAUGGCUUGAGUGAGAUAGGGGUGUGCGGAACUUCCAGUGGAGCGGUGAAAUGUGUUGAUAUUGGAAGGAACGCCGGUGGCGAAAGCGGCACACUGGGUCUUAACUGACGCUGAGGACAAAGCCAGGGGAGCGAACG